GUGAUAACCUUUCAUUCUAGGUAGGGGUAGUUAAGAAAGUUGGUGUUAGUUUAAACUCGGAGAAGUUCAGGGCAUAUGAACGUUGAAAAUAUGCCGCACAGCCCUAUAUUUUGACCUUUGAAAAAAAUUGAAGUGCAUAUGAACUUUCAAUUGUAGGAUAAGAUUUGUUUUCAAAACUUCAUAGUAAAAGUGGUACAGUUUUAGCCGUAAAAGGAGUUCCUAUGGGAACUUGCAUUCAAUUUGUCGAUAUUUACAGAAAUGCAACCUUUAACGUUUC
Molecule: long non-coding RNA, 277 nt
Filed under: Mytilus galloprovincialis (Mediterranean mussel)
Lineage: Eukaryota; Metazoa; Mollusca; Bivalvia; Mytilida; Mytilidae
Source: RNAcentral